This is a transfer RNA of 72 nucleotides. It matches the Rfam family "tRNA". From Rfam's summary of the family: Transfer RNA (tRNA) molecules are approximately 80 nucleotides in length.
GCCCCGUGUCCGAGUGGCGAGGUGAAGCUCUGCAAAAGCUUUUACAGCGGUUCGAUUCCGCUCGGGGCACCA